This 478-nucleotide ribosomal RNA is filed under the name uncultured bacterium. RNAcentral describes it as "partial 16S ribosomal RNA". It matches the Rfam family "Bacterial small subunit ribosomal RNA", at positions 28 to 523 of the family's 1533-position model. The record is from RNAcentral.
GACGAACGCUGGCGGCGUGCCUAACACAUGCAAGUCGAGCGAAGUGAGUACUACGGUACGAACUUAGCGGCGGACGGGUGAGUAACGCGUGGACAAUCUACCCUGUAGACUGGGAUAACACCUCGAAAGGGGUGCUAAUACCGGAUAAUGUCGAGAAGCGGCAUCGCUUUUCGAAGAAAGGAGGGAAUCCGCUAUAGGAGGAGUCCGCGUCCCAUUAGCUAGUUGGUGAGGGUAACGGCCCACCAAGGCGACGAUGGGUAGCCGGCCUGAGAGGGUGAACGGCCACACUGGAACUGAGACACGGUCCUGACUCUUACGGGAGGCAGCAGUGGGGAAUAUUGUGCAAUGGGGGAAACCCUGACACAGCAACGCCGCGUGAGCGAAGAAGGCCUUCGGGUUGUAAAGCUCAAUAGUAUGGGAAGAUAAUGACGGUACCAUACGAAAGCCCCGGCUAACUACGUGCCAGCCGCCGCAGUAA